UACAGAGGUGGCAAGCGUUGUUCGGAAUUACUGGGCGUAAAGGGCGCGUAGGCGGCUUGGUCAGUCCCGUGUGAAAUCCCUCGGCUCAACUGAGGAACUGCACGGGAAACUGCCUGGCUUGAGUUCGGGAGAGGGAAGCGGAAUUCCGGGUGUAGCGGUGAAAUGCGUAGAUAUUGGGAGGAACACCAGUGGCGAAGGCGGCUCACUGGACCGGAACUGACGCUGAGGCGCGAAAGCGUGGGGAGCAAACAGG
RNAcentral lists this ribosomal RNA (253 nucleotides) under uncultured bacterium. RNAcentral describes it as "partial 16S ribosomal RNA". It matches the Rfam family "Bacterial small subunit ribosomal RNA", at positions 524 to 776 of the family's 1533-position model. The record is from RNAcentral.